UAUACUAUUUCUGUGCCAAAAUAUUCAUCAAACACUUGUAUAUAUAAACCAAGAGCUAAAACUACUUCUAUUUUAAGACGGAAGGGUACUAAUAUUCUCGAAACCUUUACCACUAGCGUGAGCUGAACUGCUGAAGUAAAGCUACUACCAAGCCCUGUUAGAGAUGUGCAUUUUGACAUGAAGACUAGGAAUCGUCUAACUCUGUGUCUUGAUAUUGUUUACCCUUCGCUGCACUUGUGUAUUGGCGACUAGAACAACUCUGCAUAUGAACUUGCUGCUUGCUACGGCACCCAUUACAGCUGGUCGAGUGACCUCACUGGAGUGGAGCUGAACCUGCAUGCAUGGUCAAUAACUCAGUAUAUCAUGCCAAGUUAGGGCUUAUUCGGUUGGCUCUCAAUCCAUGUGGAUUGAGUGGGAUUGGAUGGGUUUGAAUCCCAGACAAGUCAAACGUCUUCACAAUUUUUUCCAAUCCCAUAUAAUCUAUGUGUAUUGGGAAUAACCGAACAAGCCCUUAUGGGCGUGGAGAUCCCAUGCAUGCAUAUGCAUGAACUACCAACUGUGGCCUCCUCUCCUCUCUUCUCCUCUCCUAUGUAGCUGGUGUGGGGGAAAAUGUGAACGGAUGUUCAGUUUUCCUCCCUUGAUUUUCGGCAACGCCGCCACUCGAGUCCUCGUCACUCAGUUUGUUUUGGUUUGCUGUCUAACUUAACAUAUUUUGUCUAACUUUUUCUUAGCAUAAGAGCAACUCCAGUAGAUUGUGAAAAAAGUCGGCCCGAAAAACCAGUUUUGAGGGAUACUAUAAUUUUUUCAUAGGCUAAAAGUAUGUACGCGCACAGCAGCUCCCUAAUAAACUAAUAGCCCAAUAUUUAAAAUAUGCCACGUCAAGGCUAUGGCCCAAAUGAGUUGAUGCUACGCCACCAGGAAAAAGGCGUCAAAUUAGCUGAUCUACGCCAUGGCCCAAAUUAGUGCUACUUUGUCCACGUGAUCGGAGAAACGACCACCACCGCUAGAAAAACUAGGGCAGAUUCAUUAUUUGUUGUGUGCGCCGCCGACAGAAAAAAGUAGGGCAAUUAGAAAAAGAAUAAUUGAUGAGUGGACAAAGCAGACUUGUUAAGCAGGUGUUGGAUUCAUCAUCCUCAGAUGACGAAGAAGAAUUCUUUUUCAAUGCCGCGCAUUUGAUCAUUGAUGAAGAUCAGUUUGAUGAAGAAUCGAGACGCCGCGGUUCUGUUCAUGGCCGUCAAACGGUUCGACGUAAUAGAGAGGAAGGACACGUGAGGCUAUAUCAAGAUUAUCUUGCAGAUUAUCAAACCUAUGGCCCAAGUUAUUUUAGGCGACGGUAAGGAAUCAAUUAUUCCACGUUGGUUAUCUUGAGUUGUAAUAAUUUGAUUUGAGUUUGAUUAAUAUAUAUAUAUAGGUUUCGAAUGCGGCGUACACUUUUUAUACGCAUUCUCAAUGCUGUCGAACAUCAUGAUGAAUAUUUUGUUCAAAAAAGAAACGCAGCCGGAAAGCUUGGGUUAUCUAGUUUGCAGAAGGUUACUGCUGCUUUACGGAUGCUAACUUAUGGAAUGGCAGCUGAUGCUACAGAUGAUUACAUUCGUAUUGGUGAGAGUACUGCUAUUGAGAGUCUACGAAGGUUUGUCACAGCUAUUGUUCAAGUUUUUGGAGAUGAGUACUUGAGAGAGCCCGACGAAUAUGACACUGCUAGAUUACUUGCAGUUAAUGAGAGUAGAGGUUUUCCAGGUAUGCUUGGGUCCAUAGACUGCAUGCACCGGAGGUGGAAAAAUUGCCCGUCUGCAUUGCAAGGUAUGUACUCCCUCCAGUGCAGUAAAGGUAGUCGUUUAGGACAUGAUUGUGCAUACCAAGGAGUGAUUAAUUAUCAUAGAGUUUUCCCUGUUUGCCCCUAUUAAAUAGGGAUAUGGGUGCAUUAACGUCACUAAAACAAUCAGGCUUGAUUGGUUGCUGCAGCAGCUUCAAGGCAUUCUAGACUGGAGGUCUCAAGUUCGAUUCCUCUUAAAUGCAUCUUUUUUUGUGCAAUUACUAGGGGCAACAACGUCCAAAUCCCAGACCCACGCGCGCUAUGACUUCUUUUUGUGCACGCUCGGUCACGCGCAGGAUGACUUCUUUUACUGCACCGGAGGGAGUAUAGUGGACAUGUGCAUGAACCCACAAUUAUACUAGAAGCAGUGGCUUCUAAAGAUCUUUGGAUUUGACAUGCUUUCUUUGGAAUGCCUGGGUCGCAUAAUGACAUCAACGUAUUGCAACGAUCUUCGAUUUUUGCAAGGCUAGCAGAAGGGCAAGCUCCAAAGGUGAAUUAUAUUAUCAAUGGUCAUGAGUACACAAUGGGUUAUUAUCUUGCAGAUGGUAUAUAUCCUUCAUGGGCGACGUUUGUGAAGACCAUACCAGAGCCACAAGGUAUGAAGAAAAAAUAUUUUGCUGAAGUCCAAGAAGCCUGUAGGAAGGAUGUGGAACGUGCAUUUGGUGUGCUACAAUCUCGUUUUGCUAUAGUUCGUGGGCUAGCUCGUUUUUGGGAUGAAGAGACACUUAAUAAAAUCAUGACAUCUUGUAUAAUUAUGCACAACAUGAUAGUUGAGGAUGAGCGAGAUGAACACGAUGACUUCAAUUAUGACACUAUGGGUGAAAAUGUUAAAAUUUCCCAUGAAUCCACACCUGAUCUGGAUGAGUUUAUUGCAAAUUACCAGACAAUUAAAGAUCGAUCAACGCACACACAACUUCAGGAUGACCUUGUUGAGCACCUAUGGAAACACUAUGGAGAUCAGAAUUGAGGGAUAGACUUAGUUGUAUUUAGCAUUAUUAUUUUUAUUUGAAAACAAUGAAAAAACCAAAUGCCUACUUGAUUCAAGAUAUCUGCAUGAUCUGUUUCAGCUAUUGUACUACAGCUAGCUCUCCUAAAGCUACUGUACUUCAUGAGAUCCAUACGAUUUGUUUCAGCUACUGUACUACAAAGGAAACUCUUACUCCUGUGAGAAAUACAAAGGAAUAGAAAAUAAAAAAAAUGUGUGGGCGACAUUUCUGUAGCAAGACGUCUAGAAUUCAAGUCAUGCUUUCUGCAGAGCAAGACAUUGAACAAUAGCUGUGAUAAAAAACACCUGAUGUUUGAAUUCAUCUGUACACUGGCCUGCUUUCCACAGAGCAAGACGUUGUUUUACAGAUAAUAGUACACUGACCUGUUUUUGUUGUCCAGUAUUGAGAUGAUUUCCCAUAAGAAAAUGUGAACGACUAGUAUUUCUAAAUGUAAACAAACACCUGAUGUUUGAAUUAUAUAUGACAAGCUAGUUGUGCAGUAUCCAAUUACAUAUUGCCAAAAGAAAGAAACCUAAAAUCGCAGUGAUAAAAACAGCAAACAUUUUAGCUAAAAAAUAAGCAAAGCUAGUUGUGUAUUAUCCAAUUACAUAGCACCAAAAGAAAGAAACCUAAAUCUAUAGUGAUAAAAAGCAAACAGUUUAGCUAAAGACUAAUCAACACCUAAUGUACCAUGUAACAUUAGGCAUUUUCAGACAAUAUCUUAGAUCGUAGUCUCAUGUAAUAUUGCUUCUGAUCAGCAGGCAUGACACUAAGGUCUAGUGUCAUAAUCCUCUCUUCUUCCCUCUUCUUAUGUUGUUCAACUUCUUGCUGCCUCAAUUCUAGCUCUUUACUCCUUAACUGCAUAUUUAAUUUCUCAUUCGCAGCCCUCUCUUGUUCAACUGCUAAUGCUAAUCUAAACCUCUCGUCUUUUUUCAUUUCUUUAAAUUCAUCUGUUUCUUUCUUCUUUUCAAAUAAUUUGUUUAAAGUUUCUGUGUAGCCUUUCUUUUCAGCUUGAAAUGCUGCUGCUUUGGCCUUCUUCUUUCCAGGUGGUCUUGUUGUGACAGUCUCAUUUGGAGUUGUAGGCUCGCUUGUUUCGGUGGCACUUGGUAAAUGUGGAGGUGAGGUUUCAUUUGAGUUCAUCUUUUGCUUCUUAUUAGAUGACUUGCCAACAGCCAAUUCUUCAAGUUUCAUCUCCCAUUUACGCUGUGUCCGCAACUUAUUCCAACAAUGCAUAUAUGGAAAAGCUUUAUGUUGCUUAUCUUCAGACUUAUAUAAAGCACACGCCUGUGUAAGCUGCACAUAGCAAGAGGAGAAUAUUAAUUUGUGAAGUACACAUAUAUAGACAAUAUGUGAAGGUUGUGCAAAACAAAUCAUUACCUUGUCUUGCAUUGUAGCACCACUUUGCCUUCUUCUCUCAACCUGAGCAAGGCAUCCAGUAAACCUGUUUACACCUUCUUGUAUGCUGGUCCAACGGUGCAUAAUAGAGUUCUGGCUACGGGUUGAGGAGAAGGUCUUAUUGGCAUGAAAGUAGUCAUAAAUUCUAGUCCAAUAUGAACUGCGAGUUUGAUUAUAACCAAUAAUUGGAUCCAAACUUAUGUUAAGCCAUGCAGACACCAAAAGCUCGUCUUCCACGUCACUGAAAUUCUUUGACCUCUUAUGGUUCGGUCUAGCAGAGGGUGCAUAAGUGUUUACUUCGACCCUUUGUGGUUGUUCCUCAGGAUACAAGUCAACUAAAUCGUCAUAGUCUUGUGGAUUUGUGCCUUCACUUAGGAGGCUGGUAUAGUAUCCUGCUAAUGGUACACAAACAAGCUAAUAAAUUAGCAGAAUGUUUAGUUCCAGUCCUACUUAUUAUUUCCUGAAUGUUAAGUUUCAAUCCUAAUACAACAUAAUGUAAUAUAUAUGUUCAAACUUCAAACAAAAGCUAAUGGUUUUAUCUCGCCUCUUGGGCAGCACGAAGUGAAACCUCUUGCUGUAGUAGUGCAGAUCACAUGCCGACCCCAGCCUAAAAACAUCAUCCUGGCAGUGCUAAUAGUUUUAUCUAACAACUAAAUAAUCGAUGGCAUCUACUACUUAGCACUCUGCCACGUCUUAGUAGACUGAAACACCAUCUGAAACAUAUGUAAUUAAAGGCACAAAUCUGAAGCAGUACCAAUUCCUAAUCAAAGUUUUGGAGAAACCAUGGCCAGAUCUAGAUCCAAAUACAUAUAUAUAUCAAGGUUUGGAGGUUUCAUUUCACACUGGAUGAAGGGAAUAGGUGCACGUACCUGUCGUAUGUUCAUCACCGACGAGAUCCGCGCCAACGCUAGAGGAGGAGAGGAGUGCUGCUUAACUAGUCUUAUCCAUUUGCUUCUGCACGCAGGGAGGACAAGCAGCAACUGACAGCGUCAAGAGGUAGAGAUGACAGAUAGAAAGUAGGAUGGCAGAGGAGCAAGAAGCCAGGAAAGUCACAGACCAAAAUAGCAGCCCGGGAGAAGCUAGAUUUGUGCGCGAGAAAAAAGAAGUCACACACCAAAAUAGCAGCCCGGGAGAAGCUGUGUGCGCGGGAAAAAAGAUUGGGGCCUUCCCACCUCCCGCACAAAUGAGGGUCGUCAAGGGAUAUUUUCGGGCUGUGCUACUUUUCCAAAAUAUUUUGGGGAGCUGCUGAAGGAAUGAUUUUCCAUGUAACCCUCAAAAAUAUUGGCUUAGAGCUUCUUUUGGUCAUCUACUGGAGUUGAUCUAAGGUUAGUUCUUCAAUUCGGACGAGUUAACCAAACAGGCCCUCGUGAAUUCUGCACCGGAUUCUUCCAGCUCGACGAAGCUGAAAAUGUAUCCCACUUCUACGCAUUAUAAAUGUUGUCAUUUUGUUGUUGAGUUCGAGCUGUUCUUCUCCAAACUGUGAGCGGCAGUUCUCAUUUUUCUGAGACACCUCGACCGCUCUCCGAGCCGUUUUGCCUUACGUGUAUCCUACUGUACUAAGGCGAGUGCAGCAGGCGCCAAAAACAAACUGCCGACGAGGCAGGAUGAGUAAAAUUAAACAACGGCCGGGUGGGAGCCAACGCGAAAGCCAACAACAGGCUUGCAUUGCAGCAGCUCGAUCUCGAUCGACCAGGGGAUUCCUAGUUCACCAGGUGGCCUGCACUGCACAAACGCAAACAGAAUCUUGAGCGCCCCCAAACUUUUGGCAGCAGGAUGCAUCCACAUGCAGAUGGGUGUAUGUAUAUUCAUGUACUUUUGCUCUCUGACUGCAUCUUUUACCAGCUUUCUCAUCUGGUUCAAGAAUCUCUCGAUCUCUCCUGUGUUUCAGUCCGUGUGCAUAUUAACACACGGAUGGCAGGACUGAAAACUAGGGGAUGGAACCGGGAGUACUCAGCUGCUCUUGAUGUGGGGCGUGGGGAGGCUCCACUUCACGUGCAUGGCGAUGAUAUCGAUCGGCAUCAAGCUUUACACUAGUUCUGAUCCUGGUAUGGUACGUACGGUUCAUUUUUUAAAAAAUGUCGAAAAAAGAAGCUAAAGCAGUGCGUUGAAUAACAGAGGGAAAAUGAAUGGGUUGAUGAAGUGGCCAAACAACAACUAAUGCAAGAUUAUUGUAUUCGCAUACGUACGUAUAUGUACUAGAUAUCUGUUUUCUCUCGAUAUAUAUUCUUCCAGUUCAGUCUAUGUGAACAACUCACCUGAAGCUUGCAACAAGCACAGUCCAAGUGGAGUAGAUUAUAUUAGCAGGCGAUGAUGCAAGAUUCCUUCCCUGCAUCAUGUGCAUGCAUGCUAAUUAAUCAAGAGCAGCAGAUGCAGAUGGACCCAAAUUAACAGGCGGCAAUUGGCAGCACCCAAAGCUAGCUAUAGCCCAAUCAGGCAAUUAGUUUAUCCUGAAUAUGAACCACCACGCACAUGGUCCGAUUAGUUAGAAUGUCAACACGGCUAAUCGAGCUAGCAAACGUGAAAUCUGCUUGCAGGUAGCUGCAUUCCGCUAAUGGUCCGAUGGAAUCGAUGUAUCGAUGCAUGAAUGGAUGCAUUAAUUCCAUCGGACUAUUGGCGGAAUAUGCAGCUGCAAUUCUAACUAAUUUUCCUGUUUUUCUGCCUCUCUUAUGCUCUGUGUUCACAUGGUAGAGCAGCUAGCUAGGAGGUUAGAUGACGAGUACACAGUUUGUCAGUGUUGACAUUAUUAUAUUUCUAAUGAAAGCUUGGCACUUUGGCUCCUAAAUUAAUAAGAGUUUUUCCUUCCAUAUCAAAAAGUGCAAUUCAUGUUUUUUUUGGAGAAAUGAUACAAAACAAAUACCAUCAGAUUGAUCAUGAGAUGUAUUUUCAUACUAAGCUUAGUUGGUGACAUAAAUAUCAGCACCAUUUGUUAUUGACUUGAUCAAAGUGAAAAAUAAUUCUCUCACGCAAAUUGUGUAGUUGCAUUUUUAAGGGGACAGAGAGAGAGGAGUAUACUCCUAGUAACUAAGUUUAUGUAUGUAUGUAUGUUGUAUAAUGAUCCUGAUAUCCAAUCUAUACUAUACUUAAAGCACCAGUUUCAACGGUCGUCUCGCGUCAUCUUUUUAUAAAUAACCCCUCACAGCUAUUUCAAAUUAGUCUAUUGCACGCCAGACACCCCGCGGGCCACAACUCUGGCUCAGACACGUCAUGUCGGCCUGCUGACUGCGUCAGGACAGCCUGUUAGCCCGUCGACCCAUUUGAUUAAACCAGCGUAAAAUGUUAAAAAUGGUGCAGGAGAUAGGUUCGAACACAUGUCAUGAUGGAAGAAAGACGAGAGACACUAGGUACAAUUGUUUAACCAGUAGAAUAUUAUGCUCAGAUGUUUUUAAUAUUGAAUAUAAAUUAUAUAUAUGUAUAUACAUUUUUUGUGAAAUAAAAAAUAUAUAAUCGUAUCGGGCCGGACCUGCACUACGGGCCGAGGCUACAUCCCAAGCACGUCACGACAUUCUUGGCUCUUGCAAACAUUAGAUCGUUUCUGAGACCACAUUGGCGCAAUGGACUCCAUGGUGUUUGAGGUUGCUGAAUUGGAUGGAGCAACAAUAAUUUGUCACACUAACAGUAAAAUGAAAGGUUAUUUGUUAGUUUUAAACGUUAGUAAUUGCUACGAAGUAGCAUAAUUUAUAUGGAGCUAAGAAGUCACAUGAACUCAAACUUAUAAAAAAGAUAUAUCAAAAUAUGGAGUGAUUGCUAAAGUCAGACAUCAAUAAAAACUUUCUCUUAGGUCUCUGUAUGAUAGAAUUAUGUUAUUUUAUAAUCUAUGUUCGUUCAGUCAGUCAUUAUGAACUCUCUUCUAAUCGCUCACUUUAUUGGUCAUGUUAUAUUGGAUUGAGUAAAUAAUAACAUCAGUUAGCCAAAUUUUUUAAAAAAUAUUAUAGUGGAGACAAUCAAUAAAAAAUAUUAAAUUUUUUGGUGGAUACUUUAUAUGGAUAUUGUUGUAAGCCGUCGCAACGCACGGGCAAUCGACUAGUUUAAAUAUAUAUGCCAGUGUCAUACUAUUUUAGGCUAUUCCCAGUCCAAAAUAUUAUAGUCCAAUAUCCAAUAAUGCCACAUAGGAUGAAAAGUAUGAUACCGCUACAAGAUACACCUUCUGUAGUGUAUAGUAUUAUAGUUAUAUGUUUUAAUUAUUUAAUUGGUGUGAUGUUGUGUCUAUGAGAACGGACCCCAAGUAUUAUUUUUUGUGCCACAACCUAAGAUAUGGUGUCUGUCGGGGAGGAAAUCUCCCCGGCCGGGUGGCGAAUUGCACCCGCCCUAAAUCCUAAAGAGAGGAGGGGCCUAAGCGUUUUGCUUGCUACGAGACUGGUGGAUCAACACACGAGAGCACGCGAGGGUUUAGAGUGGUUCGGGCCGCCGGAGCGUAAUACCCUACUCCACUGUGUGAUGUAUUGCUUAGGAGCUUGUAUGAACUUGAGAGUGUCUGCCUAGAGUUGGGUCUCGUAACGUCGCAUGCAUCCCCUUUUAUAGCUGAAGGGGGGCAUGCACAAAGGCACUGAGCCCCGAAAUGUGGGUCCAGGGACAUAGAGAAUAUAACGCUUGGGACUAUAAAUAUUUGUUGUCGGGGCAAUCCCCUUGUGUCCUGUCGUCCGAGAUCUGUGGAUCUUCGGCGUGCAGGGGAAGAUUCUUGUAGAAGGGAUAACACAUUGUGCUGCUUGGCACGGACGCACUGUUCGCCAGCAGACCCAGCAGGCGCGCCACCUGCUGGAUGACCUUGACGCCGCCUGCCAGCGGAUGGGACGGGACACAUUAAAUGUUGAAAGGGCACGUCGCCCGUCAGCGCAGUGACAGGCGGCGCGUCCUCUCCUCAAUAAAUGCAGGGGCUACACGGCUUUACGUCAGGCUCGGCCCGAUGGCUUAUGUCAUGGGCCACAAGCAGCGGGCCUUCGCCUGGGCAGGGAGCAGAGAGCAAGGCCUGCACAUGUGUCGGCAUUGGACCCAUGUAUCCCCCAAGGUCCUUCUCGUUCCGGAACCCUGCCGGGGUUCGGACCUACCCUGGGGCUCCGGACCUUUAUGUAUAUAGGGGCCCGGUGACCCUCUAAGGGGGUUUGGUCUUACUGAGGCAUGGUGCCUUUCCUCGCCAUGUGACGCCCUUUGGCCCGCCCAUCCGGUGGAGUUAGGCGCGGUCCUCCGCGCGGCCAGGAGACGUCGCAGGGGUGCGAUGCCUUUAUGCUGUAGGAGAGGGUACCCCUGAUUUAGGGUACCGACAGUGGCCCCCGGUCCCGCCUCAGGGGAGGGUGCGAGCCUGCAUGUGGGACCAGAGUCUGUCUGGUGGUUGGACCGCUGCUUCCGUGCGCCUGUUGCUGCAAUUAUUGUCGGCCCGCUUAUGACCCCGCCAACUGCCGUGCCUAUUCUUACAGCUGGCUGAUCCGUGACUGUCGUACUUAACGACAUUGCUUGGCCAUGCGCGGGGCUGCCUCGAGUCGCUGCACUGGUUCUGAAAAAUUUACCUUUUCAGAAUUCGUGACAGUCCCGAGAAGACAAGGCAUUGGCGCAGGCGGCGAUGCGGCUUCUUUGCACACGGUAACCGGUGCGUCGGUUACAUGACGUGUGGGCCUGGGCCCCUGAGUUGGACCGCCAGUUGUGGCGGAGCUGAGGGAGCGCACAGCCAUGGGACGGUUGUACGCUUCUUGCGCGACGGUUUGCCUCUUUGACCGCUGGAUACGGCGAAGAUGAAAGGACGCUUAAUCGUGGGGCGGUUGCAUGCCCCUUGCACGGCGGUCCGCCUUCCUAACUGCUAGUUGCCCCGAAAAUGAAGGGGCGCGUAACCGCAGGGCAGUCGCACGCUCCCUCUUAGGGUCAGUUUGCAUGACAUGUGGGGCCUGGCCCCCAUGUCAUAAGGUGGGAUCCUUGGUGCACACUGGGGGAGACUUCACUCGUGACGCUUCAGGGGCGCGAGCGGGAAGAUCUGCCUUUAAAAAGGGGGUCGAUCUCCCGGUCAGUAGUCAUGCCUCGCUCCUCUUGCGACCACCGCACCCUUUCGCCUUCUGGGCCUCCAAAUGGUGUGCGCCGGUGUUCUCUGGAGGGAUCCGCGGCAAGGCCGUCUCUUCCGACGACUUCACCAUGGGAGAGCGUGCACUCGUGGUGGUGUCGCCGAUCUUGUCUUCUUUCCGCUGCUGUUGGAGGGGUGCAACCCCAUGGGAGUUGGUAUCCUUCUACCACCAUUUGGCUUCAAGGAUUUUCAUCAUGCAGCCCGGCUGUAGUCCCCCGCCGAUGGUCACCCAGAAGAAUGACCACCAGCCUCGUGGUGGGGAGAAGCAAGCCUGAAAGGGAAAUGUGCCCUUGGGCCAUUUCUAAGUAUUUUGGUGAUUUAGUGUCCAACACAAGUGCCUAAGUGUUAAAUGGUGGACAAAGUACAAAUCGAGUAUAAAGGUAUGUUUCUCAGACUUAGUACAUUGUUUUAGAGACUAAUGUAUUGUGUCUAAGUGCUGGAAAUAGGAUAAUCAAGUUGAAACUAAAGAUGGCUUUGUUCAGCCAAAGUCAGCCCUGUCUGGGUGCACCGGACUGUCCGGUGGUGCAACAGACAGUGUCCGGUGGUGCACCGGACAUUGUCCGGUGGUGCACCGGACAUUGUCCGGUGCGCCAGGCUAGCUCAGGCGAACUUGCUGCUCUCGGGAAGUGAUUAACAGCGUACGACUAUAAUUCACCGGACUGUCCGGUGUGCACCGGACUGUCCGGUGAGCCAACGGUCGGCCGGGCCAACGGUCGGCCGUACGAUCCGCGCGAGACACGUGGUCGAGCCAACGGUCAGAAGGGGGCACCGGACUGUCUGGUGUGCACCGGACAGUGUCCGGUGCGCCAACGGCUCUCAAGUGCCAACGGUCGGCUUCGCCAAAGAAGGAAAGAAAUCCGCACCGGACAGUGUCCGGUGGUGCACCGGACUGUCCGGUGCGCCAGGCGACAGAAGGCAAGAAUUGCCUUCUUGAAUUGCUCUCAAUGGCUCCUAGCUGCCUUGGGGCUAUAAAAGGGACCCCUAGGCGCAUGGAGGAGAACACCAAGCAUUCUCUAAGCAUUCCUAAGCACCAAGACUUCGAUUCCGCGCAUUUGAUUCUUUGUGAUAGCAAUUGGAGCUCUAUUUGAGUUGUGAACUCAUCGAGUUGUGUUGUGAGCUCUUGUUGCGACUUGUGUGCGUGUUGUCGCUCUGAUUUUGUGUCUUGUGUGCGUUGCUCAUCCCUUCCUUACUCUGUGCUUCUUUGUGAACAUCAAAGUGUAAGGGCGAGAGACUCCAAGUUGUGGAGAUUCCUCGCAAGUGGGAUAUAGUAAAGUGAAAGCAAAACACCGUGGUAUUCAAGUGGGUCUUUGGACCGCUUGAAAGGGGUUGAUUGCAACCCUCGUCCAUUGGGACGCCACAACGUGGAGUAGGCAAGUGUUGGACUUGGCUGAACCACGGGAUAAACCACUGUGCCACCUCUGUGUUGAUCUCUUUGUGGUUAUCGUGUUGUGCAAGCUCUCUUCUCUAGCCACUUGGCUUAAUUGUGCUAACUCCUAAUCAAGUUUUGUGGAUUAAGUUUCAAGUUUUCAUAGGAUCACCUAUUCACCCCCCCUCUAGGUGCUCUCAAUUGGUAUCGGAGCCAUUCUCUUCAAGAAAGGGACUAAUCGCCCGAAGAGAUGGAUCCUAAGGGCAAGGGGAUUGUGAUCAAUGAUAAGGAGAAGGAGUCCUUCGUCAACGAGCCAAAAGAUGACAAGCCUACCAACUCGGGCUCGGGCCACAAACGAAAAGAUGGAAAGAAGAAGAAGACGAGGCACAUCAAGGAGAUUGUCUACUACGACGACAGCGACGAGUCCUCUUCUUCCCAAAAGGACGACGACAACGACUACGAGAAAAAGAAGACGGUUAACUCAAACUUCUCUUUCAAUUAUUCUCGUAUUCCGCAUAGCUCAAAUGCACAUUUGCUUUCCAUUCCUCUUGGCAAACCUCCUCAUUUUGAUGGAGAGGACUACGGAUUUUGGAGUCACAAAAUGCGUAGUCACUUGUUCUCUCUCCAUCCUAGUAUAUGGGAGAUAGUAGAGAGUGGAAUGAAAUUUGAUAGCUCAGAUAGUCCGUUGUUUAUCAAUGAACAGAUUCAUAAAAAUGCACAAGCUACUACUGUGUUGUUAGCCUCAUUGUGCAGGGACGAGUACCAUAAGGUGAGCGGCUUGGACAAUGCCAAGCAGAUUUGGGACACCCUCAAGAUCUCACAUGAGGGGAACGACGUCACCAUGCUCACCAAGAUGGAGUUGGUGGAAGGCGAACUCAGGAGAUUCGCGAUGAUAAGAGGGGAGGAGCCAACCCAGACGUACAACAGGCUCAAAACUCUCGUCAACAAGAUAAGGAGCUAUGGAAGCACGCGAUGGACGGACCAUGACGUUGUCCGCCUAAUGCUAAGGUCCUUUACCGUCCUUGAUCCACAUCUUGUGAACAAUAUUCGUGAGAAUCCUAGGUACACGAAGAUGACGCCCGAGGAGAUCCUUGGAAAGUUCGUAAGCGGACGGAUGAUGAUCAAGGAGGCUAGAUACGUCGACGAUGCAUUAAAUGGCCCAAUCCAAGAGCCUCAAACUAUUGCUCUCAAGGCAACAAGGAGCAAGGAGGCGCUACCUAACAAGGUGGCGCAAGUUGAGGCGGUCGGGCUUAAUGAUGAAGAGAUGGCCCUCAUCAUCAAGCGGUUCAAGACGGCGCUAAAGGGUCGCAAGGAGCACCCCAACAAGAACAAGACGAAAGGGAAGCGCUCCUGCUUCAAAUGUGGUAAGAUUGGUCAUUUUAUCUCUAAUUGUCCCGAUAAUGAUAGUGACCAGGAAAAGAAGAGUGGAAAGUGGGAAAAGAAGAAGAACUACAAGAAGGCGAAGGACGAGGCACAUCUUGGAAAGGAGUGGGAUUCGGAUUGCUCCUCGUCCGACUCCGACAACGAAGGACUCACCGCCACCGCCUUCAACAAGUCAUCCCUCUUCCCCAACGAGCAUCAUACUUGCCUCAUGGCAAGGGAAAAGAAGGUAAGCACUCGUAAUACUAGUACUUAUGCUUCUUCAAGUGAGGAUGAGUCUAGUGAUGAUGAUGAAAUAGAUUAUUCAUGUUUAUUCAAGGGCCUAGAUAGAACUAAGGUUGAUAAAAUUAAUGAAUUAAUUGAUGCCUUGAAUGAUAAGAAUAGGUUAUUAGAAAAGCAAGAGGAUCUUUUGUAUGAAGAGCAUGAUAAAUUUGUUAGUGCACAAAAUUCUCUUGCUCUAGAAGUUAAAAGGAAUGAAAUGCUUUCUUGUGAAUUAUCUACUUGUCAUGAAACCAUUUCUACUUUAAAAGGUGUUAAUGAUGAUUUAAAUGCUAAACUAGAAGUAGCAAAUAAAUCUAACUCUUGUGUAGAACAUGUUAUGAUUUGCACUAGGUGUAAAGAUUUUAACGUUGAUGAUUGUAAUGAACACCUAGUUUCAAUUUCUAAAUUGAAUGAUGAAGUGGCUAGUCUUAAUGCCCAACUUAAGACUAGCAAGAGUGAAUUUGAUAAACUAAAAUUUGCAAGGGAUGCCUACACAGUUGGUAGACACCCCUCAAUUAAGGAUGGCCUUGGCUUCAAGAGGGAAGCCAAGAACUUGACAAGUCAUAAGGCUCCCAUCUCCAUCAAGGAGAAAGGGAAGGCCCCUAUGGCUAGUAGUGCUCAAAAGAACCAUGCCUUCAUGUAUCAUGAUAGGAGACAUUCUAGAAAUGUUUAUAGAAGUUAUGAUGCUUUUAAUUCUCAUACCAUGGUUGCUUCUAGUUCUUCUAUUAUGCAUGAUAGAAAUUUAGCUAGGAGAAAUGUUAUUAAUCACAUGCCUAGAAGAAAUGUUGUUCAUGUUUCUAGGAAAAUAAUAAAUGAACCUUCUACAAUUUAUCAUGCUUGCAAUGCUUCAUUCGAAAUUUGUAGAAAGGAUAGAAAAGUGAUUGCUAGGAAACUAGGGGCAAAAUGCAAGGGUGAUAAAACUUGCAUUUGGGUCCCUAAGGAUAUUGUCACUAACCUUGUAGGACCCAACAAGAGUUGGGUACCUAAGACCCAAGUCUAAAUUUGCCUUGCAGGUUUAUGCAUCCGGGGGAUCAAGCUGGAUUAUCGACAGCGGAUGCACAAACCACAUGACGGGGGAGAAGAAGAUGUUUACCUCCUACGUCAAGAACAAGGAUUCCCAAGAUUAAAUAAUAUUUGGUGAUGGGAAUCAAGGCAAGGUGAAAGGGUUAGGGAAAAUUGCUAUUUCAUCUGAGCACUCUAUUUCUAAUGUGUUUUUAGUUGAGUCGCUUGGAUAUAAUUUGUUAUCUGUUAGUCAAUUAUGCAGUAUGGGAUAUAAUUGUCUAUUCACAAAUGUAGAUGUGUCUGUCUUUAGAAGAAGGUGAUGGUUCAUUAGCUUUUAAGGGUGUAUUAGACGACAAACUCUAUUUAGUUGAUUUUGCAAAAGAGGAGGCCGGUCUAGAUGCAUGCUUAAUUGCUAAGACUAGCAUGGGCUGGCUGUGGCAUCGCCGCUUAGCACAUGUGGGGAUGAAGAACUUUCACAAGCUUCUAAAGGGAGAACACGUGAUAGGUCUAACUAAUGUUACCUUCGAAAAAGAUAGACCUUAUGCAGCUUGUCAAGCAGGGAAACAAGUGGGAAGCUCUCAUCAUGCCAAAAAUGUGAUGACAACAUCAAGACCCCUGGAGUUACUUCAUAUGGACCUCUUCGGACCCGUCGCCGAUCUAAGCAUAGGAGGAAGUAAGUAUGGUCUUGUUAUAGUUGAUGAUUUUUCCCGCUUCACUUGGGUAUUCUUUUUGCAGGAUAAAUCUGAAACCCAAGGGACCCUCAAGCGCUUCCUAAGGAGAGCUCAAAACGAGUUUGAGCUCAAGGUGAAGAAGAUCAGAAGCGACAAUGGGUCCGAGUUCAAGAACCUUCAAGUGGAGGAGUAUCUUGAGGAGGAAGGAAUCAAGCACGAGUUCUCCGCUCCCUACACACCACAGCAAAAUGGUGUGGUAGAGAGGAAGAACAGGACACUUAUAGACAUGGUGAGGACGAUGCUUGGAGAGUUCAAGACACCCGAGCGCUUUUGGGCGGAAGCCAUGAACACGGCUUGCCACGCCAUCAACCGGGUCUACCUUCAUCGCCUCCUCAAGAAGACUUCGUAUGAGCUACUAACCGGUAACAAACCCAAUGUUUCGUAUUUCCGAGUUUUUGGGAGUAAAUGCUACAUUCUAGUGAAGAAGGGUAGGAAUUCCAAAUUUGCUCCCAAAGCAGUAGAAGGGUUUUUGUUAGGUUAUGACUCAAAUACAAAGGCGUAUAGGGUCUUCAACAAAUCAUCGGGUUUGGUUGAAGUCUCUAGCGACGUUGUAUUUGAUGAGACUAAUGGCUCUCCAAGAGAGCAAGUUGUUGAUCUUGAUGAUGUAGAUGAAGAAGACGUUCCAACGGCCGCAAUGCGCACCAUGGCGAUUGGAGAUGUGAGGCCAAUGGAACAAAAGGAGCAAGAUCAACCUUCUUCCUCAACAACAGUGCAUCCCCCAACUCAAGAAGAUGAACAGGUUCAUCAAGAGGAGGCGUGUGAUCAAGGGGGAGCACAAGAUGUUCAUGUGAUAGAGGAAGAAGCGCAACCGGCACCUCCAACUCAAGUUCGAGCGACGAUUCAAAGGGUAGAAGAGGCCUUGCUAGAUCCGGACUGGGUGUUGGCCAUGCAAGAGGAGCUCAACAACUUCAAGAGAAAUUAAGUUUGGACACUGGUGCCUCGUCCCAAGCAAAAUGUUGUGGGAACAAAGUGGGUGUUCCGCAACAAACAAGACGAGCACGGAGUGGUGACAAGGAACAAGGCACGACUUGUGGCAAAAGGUUAUGCCCAAGUCGCAGGUUUGGACUUUGAGGAGACUUUUGCUCCUGUGGCUAGGCUAGAGUCCAUUCGUAUAUUGCUAGCGUAUGCCGCUCACCAUUCUUUCAGGCUGUUCCAAAUGGAUGUGAAGAGCGCUUUCCUCAACGGGCCAAUCAAGGAGGAGGUGUACGUGGAGCAACCCCUGGCUUUGAGGAUGAACGGUACCCCGACCACGUAUAUAAGCUCUCUAAGGCGCUCUAUGGACUUAAGCAAGCCCCAAGAGCAUGGUAUGAAUGCCUUAGAGACUUUUUAAUUGCUAAUGCUUUCAAGGUUGGGAAAGCCGAUCCAACUCUUUUUACUAAGACUUGUGAUGGUGAUCUUUUUGUGUGCCAAAUUUAUGUCGAUGACAUAAUAUUUGGUUCUACUAACCAAAAGUCUUGUGAAGAGUUUAGCAGAGUGAUGACUCAAAAGUUUGAGAUGUCAAUGAUGGGCGAGUUAAGCUACUUCCUUGGGUUCCAAGUGAAACAACUCAAGGAUGGGACCUUCAUCUCACAAUCGAAGUACACGCAAGACUUGAUCAAGCGAUUUGGGAUGAAGGAUGCCAAGCCCGCAAAGACUCCAAUGGGAACCGACGGACACACCGACCUCUACAAAGGAGGUAAGUCCGUUGAUCAAAAGGCAUACCGGUCUAUGAUAGGGUCUUUACUUUAUUUAUGUGCUAGUAGACUGGAUAUUAUGCUUAGUGUAUGCAUGUGUGCUAGAUUUCAAUCCGAUCCAAGGGAUUGUCACUUAGUGGCUGUGAAGCGAAUUCUUAGAUAUUUAGUCGCUACGCCUUGCUUCGGGAUCUAGUAUCCAAAGGGGUCUACCUUUGACUUGAUUGGAUAUUUAGACCCCGACUAUGCUGGAUGUAAGGUCGAUAGGAAGAGUACAUCGGGGACGUGCCAAUUCUUAGGAAGGUCCCUGGUGUCGUGGAGUUCAAAGAAACAAACUUCUGUUGCCCUAUCCACCGCUGAGGCCGAGUACGUUGCCGCAGGACAGUGUUGCGCGCAACUACUUUGGAUGAGGCAAACCCUCAGGGACUUUGGCUACAAUUUGUGCAAAGUCCCACUCCUAUGUGAUAAUGAGAGUGCUAUCCGCAUGGCGGAUAAUCCUGUUGAACAUAGCCGCACAAAGCACAUAGACAUCCGGCAUCACUUUUUGAGAGACAACCAGCAAAAGGGAGAUAUCGAAGUGUUUCAUGUUAGCACCGAGAACCAGCUAGCCGAUAUCUUUACCAAGCCUCUAGAUGAGAAGACCUUUUGCAGGUUGCAUAGUGAGCUAAAUGUCUUAGAUUCGCGGAACUUGGAUUGAUGUGUAGCAUACAUGUGUUUUAUGCCUUGAUCAUGUUCCUUAAUGCAUUUUGUUGAUUAAUUAUGGUGCUCAAGUUGUACAAGCACUCCCCGGACCUCACAAGUCCAUUUGCAAGUGAUGCACAUAUUUAGGGGGAGUUGUGCUACAACUUGACCCUUUGAGACUAACUGUGUGCUUGAGUUUGCUUAAUUUAGUCUCAAAGGAGGUUGAAAGGGAAAAGGUGGACUUGGACCAUGCAAGACCUCCACUGCACUCCGAUGAAAGAGUAACUGAUUCCAAGUUCAUCUUUGUACUCUUAUUGCCUUUUUUACUCUUAGUUGAAGAUUUUGGUGAGGCAAUGGGGUUAAAGGGCCAAAAUUGAUCCCGUUUUGGUGCUUGAUGCCAAAGGGGGAGAAAAUAAGGCCAAAGCAAGGAAAUGGAUCAGCUACCACUUGAGAAUUUUGAAAAAGAAGAGUUAGAGUUUUUGUUUGUCAAAAUACUCCUGUUUGUCUCUUAUUGUCAAAAGUUGGUCUCUUGUGGGGGAGAAGGCUUAAUUAUGGGAAAAAGGGGGAGUUUUUGAACUCUUUGAUGAAUUUCUCUUGAAAUAUCUCUCUUUAUGUUUCAACAAGUGUGUUUAGAAAUUGAGUUUGAUUUGCAAAAACAAACCAAGUGGUGGCAAAGAAUGAUCCAUAUAUGUCAAAUCUGAAUCAAAACAAUUUUGAGUUCUUAGUUGAAUUGAUUUUGCACUUGUUCUACUUACUUUAUGUUGUGUUGGCAUAAAUCACCAAAAAGGGGGAGAUUGAAAGGGAAAUGUGCCCUUAGGCCAUUUCUAAGUAUUUUGGUGAUUUAGUGUCCAACACAAGUGCCUAAGUGUUAAAUGGUGGACAAAGUACAAAUCGAGUAUAAAGGUAUGUUUCUUAGACUUAGUACAUUGUUUUAGAGACUAAUGUAUUAUGUCUAAGUGCUGGAAACAGGAUAAUCAAGUUGAAACUAAAGAUGGCUUUGUUCAGCCAAAGUCAACUCUGUCUGGGUGCACCGGACUGUCCGGUGGUGCACCGGACAGUGUCCGGUGCGCCAGGCUAGCUCAGGCAAACUUGCUGCUCUCGGGAAGUGAUUAACGGCGUACGACUAUAAUUCACCGGACUGUACGGUGUGCACCGGACUGUCCGGUGAGCCAACGGUCGGCCGGGCCAACGGUCGGCCGCGCGAUUCGCGCGAGACACGUGGCCGAGCCAACGGUUAGAAGGGGGCACCGGACUGUCCGGUGUGCACCGGACAGUGUCCGGUGCGCCAACGGCUCUCAAGUGCCAACGGUCGGCUUCGCCGAAGAAGGAAAGAAAUCCGCACCGGACAGUGUCCGGUGCGCCAGGCGACAGAAGGCAAGAAUUGCCUUCUUGAAUUGCUCUCAACGGCUCCUAGCUGCCUUGGGGCUAUAAAAGGGACCCCUAGGCGCAUGGAGGAGAACACCAAGCAUUCUCUAAGCAUUCCUAAGCACCAAGACUUCGAUUCCGCGCAUUUGAUUCUUUGUGAUAGCAAUUGGAGCUCUAUUUGAGUUGUGAACUCAUCGAGUUGUGUUGUGAGCUCUUGUUGCGACUUGUGUGCGUGUUGUCGCUCUAAUUUUGUGUCUUGUGUGCGUUGCUCAUCCCUUCCUUACUCCGUGCUUCUUUGUGAACAUCAAAGUGUAAGGGCGAGAGACUCCAAGUUGUGGAGAUUCCUCGCAAGUGGGAUAUAGUAAAGUGAAAGCAAAACACCGUGGUAUUCAAGUGGGUCUUUGGACCGCUUGAAAGGGGUUGAUUGCAACCCUCGUCCAUUGGGACGCCACAACGUGGAGUAGGCAAGUGUUGGACUUGGCCGAACCACGGGAUAAACCACUGUGCCACCUCUGUGUUGAUCUCUUUGUGGUUAUCGUGUUGUGCAAGCUCUCUUCUCUAGCCACUUGGCUUAAUUGUGCUAACUCCAAAUCAAGUUUUGUGGAUUAAGUUUCAAGUUUUCACAGGAUCACCUAUUCACCCCCUCUAGGUGCUCUCAAAGCCGGGCUGCGGCUUCCCUCCUGCCCUCAGCUUCAAGGAUGUUCAUCAUCCUCGCUGGGGCGGAAGGCGCGUCGAGCCGGGGUUCUGCCUCCCGUGUGGGCCAGCGGCCCGCUUCUUCCUCCAACAUUUGGGGGAGGAGAGGGGUUCAACAGCCACGCGAAGGAGGCGAACUUCGGCUAUGCGGGGCCGGCCAUGUGCAGGCGCUGACAGCUGCCGCGUGCCUGGCUCUUGGCCUGGGUGGCCCUGUCGCCGCCUCCGACGCUGCCUCCUGCCGUUUGGUCGGGGCGUGGCUGUCCGUCCACCACACGGGCGACCGUCGCGCCGUGCGCGGGUCCGCCACAUCCACGGCUUCUCCCGCGCCGCCGGCCAUACGGGGGGACCGUCCAAGACGCCGUACGUUGCGAGAGUGGUGGUGGCGUUCUUGGAUGGUCUUGUCCUCACUCCGUGGGAGGACGGGAGCGAGGACCUCUUAUGCGGAGGUGGCCGUGGUCGUCGGUGCUGAGGCGGUGGCUGCCGCUGGUGAGGCUGCCCCUUGCAGAGGUGGUUGCCUCCUCUAUCGAGACCAUCAGGGCCACCUGCCACUGAGUCCUUGACUCUUUGGCUUUAAUGGCCUCGUUAUCGCCCCCUAUAGGAGGACGGGGGCGAGGACCUUUCACAGCCGCGCUCACCCUGAGGUGGUCGCUGCUGCUGGCAUACCGCCCAAAGCGGAGGUCGUUGUCGCUGCUGAUGCAGAGGUGGUCGCUGUUGCCGGCGAUCCGUCGAUGCAGAGGUGGUCGCCGCCGCUGGUGAGGCAGCCCGGAGCCAGCUUCCAGCGCGACUCUUGUUGGUGCAGCGUAGUCCAUUCCUGCAGAGAUGGAGCUGGGUCCCGUUUGUAAGGGAAUGUAAUAACAUUUGCUUGAAAGCAAAAUGUAAUAACAUAUGUAUGCAGGAUUUUAGCCUGGGAAACCAAGUUGUGUGUCCGAACCCCCUAGAUGGUGGCUUCAUGUACCAAGACACCUGUCGCAGGGCGGUGGAGUAUGCAGGCUCACGGCACGGGACCAGGCUGAGUGGAUACAUGGCUUCCGGACCCCCCAGGAGACAAGUGUUUGUUCUUCAAAACCGGACCUCCAGUUCGUUGGACGCACAGGACUAUAGUUUUAAAUACUAGAACACCUGUCAUGGAGUGGUGGAGUGUGCAGGGUUUUGGGUACGGAACCAGGCUAACCGGCCACAUAGGCUCUGGACCACCCUAUGGAACAGGCAUCCGUUCCUUAGAACCGACCCCUAGGCCUUCCCCUGUUUUUGUAAAGUAAUAGAUAAUAUCUAUUAAGCAGUAUUUAACACUUAUCUGUGUGUUGCUCGAUCCUGUUGUUAACUUCCCUUGGUACCUGGCCCCCCGCCUGGGGUACAGGCUCGAUGUGUCGAGGCUAGACACCAGCGCGUAUAAAAGAGUUGUCAACGUCCUUCGGGAGGCAGCCUCACCGAGACCUGGAUCUAUACAUAGCUUUAGCUGAAAAGUGUUAGUGAUACACCCGUAGACCCCGUCAUCUGGCAUUUUUCAUCCUUUGAUACAUGCUCGGUAUUUGCAGUGUUUUGGCUAGGGGAAGCAAGUUGUGUGUCCGGACCCCCUGGAUGGUGGUUCUAGAUACUAGGACGCUUGUCACAGAGUGGUAGAACAUGCAGGCCCACGGUACGGGACCAGGCUGAGCGGCUACAUGGUUCCGGACCACCCCAGGAGACAAGCGUCUCUUCUCUAGUUUCAGACCCCAAGUUGUCGGACCCACAGGACUUAUAGCUCUAAGUACAAGGGUGCUCAUCACGGAGUGUUGGAGUGUGCAAGGUUUUGGGUACGGAACCAGGCUAACCGGCCGCACAGGCUCCGGACCACCCCAUGAAACGAGCACUCGUUCCUCAGAGCCGGCCCCCAGACUGUCGGGUCCCCCCUGCUUUCACAUAGAGGUCCUAAACUACAACUCUGGCUGUUCAAUCCAGAUGUCAUUAUGCCUGGUGGGAUGGGAGCAGGGCAGGUGGGUUAGAUAAAACACUAUCAGAAACUGCAGGGUGAGACCGUGGAGCAGUAGGAAAUUGCUAUCAUAGAGGCAUAUCUUGAGAGGGUAGUUUUCCUUUAUAGCUAAUCAUGCAUGGGUGCAGGCCAACAGGCCGGGUUUAUGGGGCACACCCUACCGGGUUGGCACACCCGUGUGCACUACCUAGUUACAAAAAGGGAAAAACUUUGACCCCUUAGACUUGCUCUAUAGAUAAAACUUACAGAGAUAUUUUGACAUUGGGGGAGGCAUUCCUUCAGUCGUAGCUAGACAGUUGCCCUUGGGUCGGGGUACUCACAUUACCAUGAAGGGUCCUUCCCAGCUGGGGGAGUGUUACGGAGCCCUAAUUUGGUCUGGUACCUUUGUAGGAUUAGGUCCCGACCCUGGGUUCCCAUCUGCAUUUGACGAAGGAGGCCCCGCCUUUGGCUGUGGUCAUUCCUGGAUGAACCUAUCAGAAAGCUGGACCCGUGGGGAAUCCAGAUGGGUUUCUGGAGGAAGGUUGUCACACCCGGUUUUGGAAGGCAAACCGAAUGCGAACUAUGUACGUGCCAGGAUCAGAAUUCACGUACACAGCGAUUACAUAAAUGAACAUCAUCGCACAGUGCUCGAAUAAAAACAUGAAAGGGUAUUAACUUAUUACAUCACAGAGUCAUAGACAUCCACAUAGUCAUCAACUUAACAGUUAAAUCAAAGUGCUAGCGAAACACAGUAAAGAUAAGGCCUUCACAGGCAGCUGACUGGGGGUUGCCGCCAACCCACACCUAGAAUUCGUCGUAGUCUUGAAACUCCUGGAAGUCUCCUUCCACGACUUCGUCUUCUCCUGAGCAGUGGUUGCAAUGUGGACAACCUGGUGUUUGGUGGUAAAGCAAGGAUGAGUACACAUCAACGUACUCAGCAAAUGUCCCGUUUGGCUGAAGUGGACUAGCUUUAUGUGGGGCUAGGCUCAAGCAGUUGCUUUUAGUUGGUCAGGUAUUUAUUAUUAGUAGGAGCCAGGUUUUAUCAUAAAACCCAAGUUAUAAUCCCAAAAAGUACUUCCUCAGAGAAGAAAUACUAGAAAACAUAAUUAAAGUCACCAUCUGAAGUGUAUCCGGAGUAUCUCUAAUCAAAGAGGAUCCCAAGGCUGCUCUUAACCGUGAGCACGGCUGAUAUACUAGUUUCACUACCCUCUGCAGAGGUCGCACACUUUACCCAUGAGCCGUGAUUCCCUCUCUAGCCCGGGCUUGCAAGACCCUUAUUCACUCCCAAGGUGAAUGGCCAGGGAUUCACUACGAAGCCUUUACAAAGAUUCCCUAGAGGUCAUAGCUGCCCGUUAGGUUUCUCCAGUUUGAUAAACACAGUACCUCUCCCCGCAGGAAGGUGACUAAAAAGCAAAACGAAAGAACCUCGGCACUCAGCCUCGGUAGAGCAAGCACUGUGCCUGGACCCCAUUGACGGCACGACGGCGAAGCAACUACACUUCUAGUUCCUCUAAUUAAUUAGCUAAGGGCACCCCAUUCCACCCUCAUGGUUGCACUGUUAUCCCGGGUGGUCUCUCAACGAACAGGUCCUUAUGGAGAGGUACUCGAGAAACUGCUCGAGUCCCCUAAAUGCCACAAGUACAUCAUCAUAUCCAGAAUAAAAUCAUAGUAUCAUCAUUGUAUCUCAUAAUGUUCAUUGAUUAAAGUAAAGCGCUAGCAUGUAGCUAACCAUAGUAACCCAAAAGGUAAAUCAAGGACAAGGUGAAUAGAAAGCUAGUAAAUCCUUAGGUUUCAAUUAAGUAAUGCGGGAUAGUGAAUUAUAAGUGAAUAGGACAUAAUGGGUCAGAGGACACUUGCCUUCACCAAAUAGAUGCUCAGGGUCUUCAACCUUGCAGAACUCGAAGAACCAGGUCACUUGGUCACCGAAGCUUGACCGUCGAUUCCUCGAAGCUCGAAAACGGAUCAUAAUCUAAUCGCAACGCGAAGCGAAGACAAACAGGCACAAGCAAACAAACAUAUAUAUGCAUAAGAACGUUACACCAUGCCAAAGAGAACAUAAUAAAAACAUGCAAUACGAAAUAGAGCUCGCUACUACGGUCACGCAAGGAAAAGAACACGAUAGUCUGAGCUAUGGUCGAGAGGUUAUGACGUUUACGCUACGCUAGUAAUAGUCAGGACAUUUAAUUCGACAUUUUCAAAUAUAACUUAUAACUGUCAUUUAGUUUUGAUUAAAUUUAUUACACUAAUAGCUGUCAAAUAAGUAAGUAAUAUAGUUAGCACGAGAGAUUUUAAGCGAGGUGAGUUUACGAUGCAGGAAAAAGCAUGACAUAGCACGCUGACAACACACCAAACGAUGCGCGCGACCAGCGUGAACGACGCGCGAACCAGCACGCCACCACGAGCACAUUACGCGUGAACAGCGUGCAGACAGUGCGACGAUGUGUGAUACUCGCUAACAUAUAACGAGACUAUACUAACCAAGUAUUAAAUGAAAAGUGUUUAAGUUGGUGUUCAUCAAGUUAACAUUUAUCUAUAAAAUCGUGAGUUAGAAAUUAUAAACUAGUUUUAAUUAGAAGACCAUUUUUAAUAAGUAUUGAAUGAACAAAUAAUUAAAUAAUUAAAUAAUUAAAACUUGUGACAUGAUAAAAUACAUUACUAAUACGAAAUCGACGCGACUGAACAAUUAAUUUAGAACAAACACGUUAUGCCGCAGCGAAUCGAUAUCAUGUCUACACUAACCAAACAUAAAUGGUAGACUAACCAAACAUGAAUGAAAACGCUUCGGAUUGAUACAACUACCUUAAUAGAUAUUAACGAAGCGUAGAAUUAAAAUUACAAAUUUGUUUUCGGUUGAAUUGUUAUUUUAAUAACCGACCACUAAACAACUAAUUACUAAUUAAUAAUUUAACAUGCAUGAAGUGGCGAAAUGAUUUUACUAAAACGCGCAACUAGCGAUUUGCGUGAAAGACGGCACGAGCGAAACAUACGAGAAAUACUAAAUAGAGAGUGUGUUUAUACUAAAGAAGUAUUAUUUCGAAAACAUUCUAUUAGACGUAAUUAUAUUAACAUGUAUUUAUAAAGUGAAUCUAAACUAUAAAUGAGUUCAAUUAAUUGCUACUUUAAUAAUUGUCAGAUAAAUAGAUGACCAAUUAAUUAACAUUAGAAAGUGCAUGAUGAUAAAGUAAUGUUACCUAAUACAUCGUUAAUAUAGCUCUACGAAGCUAACACAAAAGAAAUAAGUCGAAACGGAUUUACAACACAAAUAUAUUGGAUAUUUAAUGGUUCGCGGAAUCUAAACGAUGUGGCACGCAACAGCGCGCGCAAACCGCACGUGAACAGUAACAAUGACACAUGCGGAUAGCACAAGCAGUCCGUGCGACAACUCGCGGGCAGUGCACGGGCAACAGCGCAAGACGCGAACUCGCAAACGCUACAAAGAUGCGACGACGUGCGCGAACAACACGACAAGCGGGAAAUCAUUAACAGAUAUCGUGCUUAGAAUGAACACAUAUUAAACAAAUAUAAACAUUUAAUUUGGCUUAAAUCAUGUUAACGUCCAUUUACACGUGCGCAAAUUAAAACUAUACAUUAGUUUUAAUUAGAUCUCUACUUUAACAUCCAUCAGAUAAACAAACAAACAAUUAAUUAGUUAAAACACUUGUCACGAUAAAAUAAUAUUAUUAACUCGCCGGUAACGUUAUUACAAAGCUAAUGCAAGUUGAACAAAGGGAAUCGAAUUUUAUAACGCAACAUAUAUUAAUUAUUUAGUACUUCACUGAUUUUAAACGACGUGGCUAAUUAUUAUUGGUUAGAGGCUGGCCACACCUAUGGUCACACGAAACACAGCCAUAGAGGAUCCCAAGCUUAGGAUCACAUGUGGCUAGCUUCUUCUCUGUUGUAACCGCACAACGCAGAACGCACGACGGUUCUUCUUCCUUGGAGUUUGGACAGGAAAACUGGCAUGGGGAAGAGGGAAGGAGGGGCCAGCUGAGGCCUCACCGGCCAGCUAGCCAGGCCGCCGCGGGGUAGAGGGAGUUGGGUCUGGCCGCUAGCCGGGCCACGCCGCGGCUGCCAGGUUGGGGCGCCGGGCGAGGGCGCUGAUGGACGGACGGCUGGUCGCGGUGCGCGGCGGCUCGCCGGGGCUGCUGGUCGCCACGCCGGGCAAGCCGUGCCUGUUGCUGCGCGCGCUGGCCGCUGCGCUGGGUGAGCCACCGGCUGGCCGCGCCGAGGACGAGGCCAGGCUCGCGCGCCAGCCUAGGGAGCUCGUCGGGGAAGGGCCUCAGCCAUGGCUACGGCACGGCGGCGUACCGCGAGCAGGGCCCGAGGGGCUCCCCGCCGGGGCCAGGGAGAGGGAUGGGAGAAGAACGCGUGGGGAGGGAGAGGAAGAAGGAUCCGUGAGUACCUGGUAACAGUCGCCCUUCACGCCUGCGAUCUGGAUCUGGGGAAACGAUCUGGAUCUGGGGGAAGUCAGGAGGUUUUGCGAUGGCUAGAGUAGUAUUUGUAGAAAAGAGAGGAUGUGGAAGGCGGUUGUAAAAUUUGUCGCAGGUUGCGUCCUGGCCGAGCCAAAGCGACGAUCGCGCGAUGAGUUGCACGAUACAGUAAACGACGGAGACCGAGUUAGGCAGAGGUAGGCGAUGGUAGAUGAAAUAAAGGGGUAACAGGUGUGCGAGCAGCAAACGUUCACGAGGAGGAAAUCCGGUUUGACGACCUCGCGAAAAUGACACAAAUCAUAGAACGAGUUCGACGAGAGGAACACAUAUAUAUAAUCGAGUUUUCCAAGAUUUUUUUGUAGUUUUCGCAAAUACUAAAUUUUAGGUAUUUAAUUAUUAUUAGAAAAACUAAAAUUCAUAUUUUAGUACUUGAAGAAACGUUUUGAAGGUUCCCGAAAAAAAUCUGAAAACAUGGUCAAGAUAAUUCGAUACAGUUCGAAAAACUUUUCACUCAUAAACAUUAUGUAACAACAUGAAUGCAACAAUCAAAGUUUCUCCAGGAUUUUGUUUUACUACGCCAAAAACUCAUAUAUAUAUAUAUAUAUAAUAAAAUAACUAUCCAUCAUUUAGAAAAAGAGAAGAAAGCAGGUAAAGAAGAGGGUAACACCUGAAUUUGGUGAAUAUUAGAAAAGAAAUUUUAUACCCCAAAUUCAGGGUGUUACAAAUCUAACCCCCUUAACAGAAUCUCGCCCUCGAGAUUCAAGAAGAAGAUAGCAAGAAGAGAAAAAAAAUGAGGUUGGUUCAUCGAUUGUCCAAAGUUUCUUCCGUUCAACAUUGACUCUACCAGCUUAUCUUGCAGACUGGUUGCUUUGACCUUCAGGAGCUCGAGACCAAUUGAUAACAUUCUUGAGGAUCCCUUGGACCUGUGGGUUAGGACCCACGCACGCUUUUGAUGCGCCACUUCAAUCUUGUUGGUUGAUGUUGAUCGCAUUGUCUUCAUCGGGGUUAGCGGCUAACCCCCUUAAUAGGAGCAUUGAUAUGCACUUGGUGAAGAUGCUGCCGACUCUGAUCUUGACUAAUUAAGAGAGGUUGUAGGAUGCCAACUGGACAGGUGCAAGAGGGAAGGGUAUAGAUAGAAAAUGUAAGCAUAGAUGAAUUAAAGAGAGAAAAGGGAGAGCACCCAGCUACCUAACUCUAUGGCACUCAGCUAGUGAACUGAUGUCAUUGCGGACCAAGGGCCACAACACAUCCACAAUCAUCACAAAGAAGCAAAUCAAUCUUCACACAAAGACAAACAACACAAGCACACCUCAACAGGCAUCUCGUUGCUACACGUUAAUGUUAACUAGAUGGUGGUCUUUCCUUACAAAGGGAAAACUACUCUAAGGCCAUCGAAAGGCAAGGGGAAUACUAAGACAUGCAGGAUAGGGGCAUGAGCAUAAUAAAGGAUGGAGCAAGGAUUGUAUCCGACAGGGAGAGAAUGCAACCAAGGACAGGGUAGGUAAAACACCAUUCUCGAGUUGAGAUGGAAAAGAUGAUAUUUCAAAUGGUAGGAAUGAUAUAAGCAUCAUGGAAAGAAUCUAGAUAUUAGGAAGGUGAGGGUGAUAUCGAGCAAAAGCUAAGACAUGCAACGCGAUAGAGGAAAAGGGAACGAACAAUAGCAGGAUGGGUAAGACAUCACUCUUGAAAUGAAAUGGGAGAGGUGACUUUAUGUCACACCCGGUUUUUAGAAGGCAAACCGAAUGCGAACCAUGUACGUGCCAGGAUCAGUUAUUCACGUACACAGCAGUUACAUAAUAUGGACAUCAUCACACAGUGCUCAAAAUAGUAUUAAAAGGGGAAACAAUAGUCGAUUACAUCAUACGUCUGAGACGUCCAUAUAGUUCUUACAAUAAAUCAAAGUGCGGAAAAGAAACGUAGAUAACGCGGCCUUCACAGGCAGCCGACUGGGGGUUGCCGCUAACCCACACCUAGAACUCGUCGUAAUCUUGGAACUCCUGGAAGUCUCCUUCCACAGCUUCAUCUUCGCCUGAGCAGUGGUUGCAAUGCUGACAACCUGGGGGGGGGUUUGGUGUGUAGAGCAAGGGUGAGUACACAUCAACAUACUCAGCAAGUAUCCUGUUUGGCUGUAGUGGACUAGCUUUAUGUGGGGAUAAGUCAAGCAGUUGCUUUUAGUUGGUCAGGUUAUUACUUACUAGUAGAAAGCCAGGUUUUAACAUUAACCCAAGUUAUUAGCCCAAUGUAUCCUUUCCAAACGGAAAGAAUACCACUUACCAGCACCAUAAUCAUAACCAGAUUCAACAGUCUCAUAACCACCUGUACCACAAUAUCUCUGAUCAAGUACCACUAAUCAUUGGAGCUCCCUUGGCCGCUCAUAACCGCGAGCACGGCUGAUAUAUCAGUUUCAUAACACUCUGCAGAGGUUGUGCACUUUACCCACAAGCCGUGAUUCCCAUUCUGCCCGGAGAUCAUGACUCUCCAUUGAUCACUACCAAGGUGAUCCAGCAGGGCAUCACUACGAAGCCUUUACAAAGAUUCCCCGGGGCUGUAGCCACCCGUUAGGUUUCCUAAAUGCACCGCACUCCUCCCCAAGGGGCGAACCCAAACUUGGCAGAGCGAGCCGCAUACACCGAGCCCCAUUGACGGCACGACGGCUAAGUGAACUACACCCCGGAUCCUCUAAUUAUUCAGCUAAGGGCACCCCAUUCCACCCUCAUGGUUGCACUGUUUUCCCGGGCGGUCAUCCAUAGAACAGGUCCUUACGGAGAGGCACUCGAGAAACCGCUCGAGUCCCCUUGAAAACCACAAGUAUAAUCAUAAAGAAGAGCGGGAAAACAGCGUAUCAUAGAUAAUCACAUCAUGUUCAUUGAUUAGAGUUGAGCAAUAGCAUCAGACUAAGUAGUAAUAAUCCGACCCAAAUAGGUAAACAAGGACAUGGAUAACAAAAGCUAGUCAAUCCUUAGGUAUAAAUGUGUAAAGCGGGAGGUGAAUUAAAGAAUGAAUAGGACAUAGAUAGGUCAAAGGACACUUGCCUCCACCAAACGACUGCUGCUCAGGGGCUUCUCCUGCGAAUUCCUCGGGCUCUUCGACCGGAUCGUUCUCUAUGCGAGCGCAAACAUACAUACAUACAUCCACAUAUUUAAUACAAAAGAACAGUACACCAUACAAGAUAACAAAUAAAGCGAAUAUGCAUCAAGUAUGACAUUCGAUAACGCAUUUGUUAUGGUUAGAAAGAAACGGGAAAGGUCUCGCAGGGGGGGUUAAAUCUUAUGCACUAAUGACACAAUUGGUUUUUAACAAAAGAAUUCUGUUACAUAUACACUAAUGGAAACCUAAUCACUUUUAGUUGAUCAACAUUGCACAGGGUAAACAAUUAACUACGUGCAUCAAUAGCAUAACGGAAUUUUAAAUUAAACUUCCUAUUUUCCCAUAGCAUGAACAGUGAUUAGCCUACUUAAAAUACAGUAAUUAUGAUUACAGAAAGUAAAUAAAAUAAAAUAAAAAAAAUAAAAAAAAAACAGAAGGGGGGGGGCGGUUGAACCGGCCCUAGGGCGGUUGAACCGGCCCUAGGCGGGGCGCGGGAGCGGGCGGCUGAACCGGCGGGGCAGGGGGCGGCGCAGGGGGCGGCCGAGCCGGGGGGCGGGGCGGCCGAACCGGCGGGCAGGGAGGCGGCGCAGGGGGCGGCCGAGCCGGGGGGCGGGGCGGCCGAACCGGCGGGCAGGGAGGCGGCGCAGGGGGCGGCCGAGCCGGGGGCGGGGCGGCCGAACCGGCGGGCAGGGAGGCGGCCGAACCGGCCAUGGGGAAAGGGGAGAGGGGAUGGGGGAGGGAGGAGAGGGGGAGGGGGAGCUCACCGGGGAGGGGCGCGACGGCGAGGGGCGGCCGGCGGCAGGGGCGGCCGAGGGCGGCGGCUGGGCAGGGGGCGGCGGCGGCUUAGGGCAGGGGUAGGGGCGGCGGCUUAGGGAGAGGGAGAGAAAAUGAGAGAAAAUGAGAGGGAGAGGGAGAGGGUUUGGGGAAAAAGGGGAGGUGGGGGGGCGGUUGGGCCUAUUGGGCCCAGGGGGGGGCGCGCAGGGGCGGCUGGGCCGGCCGGGGUCGGCCCACGGCGCGGGAGAGAGAGAAAAAAAAGGAAGAGAGAGAGAAAAGAGAAAGAAAAGAGAAAGAAAACAUUUUCGAAAUCCGAUUCUUCUACAUGAAUGCAUUUGCACUUUCAAAGCAAUCAAAGGAAAUGCAAGGUUCGGCAUGGUGCAUCGAGCAACAUAAAGCAUUUAGGGUUUUUCUUACACGGGAAAUCCAAACCGAAUCCCGCUAGAACUUUGGAAAAGGUCAAGGUUUAGCGAGGGAAAAAGAAAAGGAAAGGUAACGCCCGAAUUUUGGCGAGUAAAGAAAAGAAAAAAAUUCAACUGCAAAAUUCGGGGCGUUACAAACCUAUCCCCCUUAAAAGAAUCUCGCCCUCGAGAUUCAGGGCUGGCUAGCAAAGAGCUCCGGGUACUUGGCCAUCAGAUCAUCUUCACGCUCCCAAGUUGCUUCUUCCUCAGAGUGGUGACUCCAUCUGACUUUGCACAUCCUGACGGUCUUCCUUCGGGUGACUCUAUCUGCAACCUCAAGGAUCUGAGCUGGCUUCUCAACGUAGGUCAAGUCCUCCUGGACUUCAAGACCUUCCACUGGCAACUGCUCUUCUGGCAUACGCAAGCACUUCUUCAACUGAGACACAUGAAAGACAUCAUGCACAGCAGACAAAUUCUCUGGCAAACUGAGCUGAUAAGCCACUUCUCCACGUCUUGCAAGAAUCUGAUACGGACCAAUGUAGCGGGGUGCUAGCUUGCCUUUCACUCCGAAUCUUCUGACUCCUCUGAUCGGUGACACUUUCAGAUAGACAAAGUCUCCGACUUCGAAACUCAGCUCUCUUCUUCUUGUGUCUGCAUAGCUUCGCUGCCUUGAUUGCGCUAUCUUCAGAUUCUCUCGGACCAUCUUGAUGUUCUCUUCGGCUUCAAGCAAAAUGUCUGGCCCAAACACUUGCUUCUCUCCAGGCUGAUCCCAUUGCAACGGAGUUCUACAACUCCUUCCAUAGAGCGCCUGAAAUGGUGACAUCUUCAAACUGGCCUGAUAACUGUUGUUAUAGGAAAACUCUGCAUAAGGCAAUCGCUUGUCCCAUCCGGACUGAUCUUGCAACGCACAGGCUCUCAACAUAUCUUCAAGAAUUUGAUUGGUUCUUUCAGUCUGACCAUCUGUCUGCGGGUGAUAAGCUGAACUGAAAUUCAGAUGCGUGCCCAAGGCUUCAUGCAACUGCUGCCAGAAAUGAGAGGUGAACUGCGUUCCUCUGUCUGACACUAUCUUCUUUGGCACACCAUGAAGACAAACGAUCCGAGACAUAUACAAUUCUGCCAAUACUGCACUGUUGUAGUUGGUCUUGACAGGUAUGAAGUGGGCUGACUUGGUCAAGCGGUCCACUACUACCCAAAUGGAAUCGUAGCCGGCUCGAGUGCGAGGCAAUCCGACUAUGAAAUCCAUGCCAAUUUCAUCCCAUUUCCACUGAGGGAUCUGCAACGGUUGCAACAAUCCAGCUGGUCUCUGGUGUUCUGCCUUAAUUCUUCGACAACUAUCGCACAUAGCCACAUGCUCUGCGAUUUCCCUUUUCAUUCCGUACCACCAGAAUUUCUUCUUCAGAUCCUGAUACAUCUUCUCACUGCCAGGGUGAAUCGAAUAGGCUGUCUCAUGAGCUUCCUUAAGAAUCAACUCCCGAAUAGACUGGACAUUGGGAACACACAAGCGGUCUUUGAACCAUAUCACGCCUUCUGCAUCUUCUCGAAAGUCUUUGCCUUUGCCAUCUAGAAUCAAUCGCCGAAUCUCACUGAUCUUCUCAUCAUUUUUCUGCGCUUCUUUGAUUUCGCGCUCCAAGGUAGGUUCCAAUUCAACUGUGACUCCUCGCGAAUUGUUCAGAAAUCCGAGACUCAACCUGUCAAACUCCUUGGCCAACUCAUAAGGCAUCGGGCGAGCAACCAUCAGAUUGACUUGACCCUUUCUGCUCAAAGCAUCUGCCACUACGUUCGCUUUGCCUGGAUGGUAAUGAAUCUCCAACUCAUAGUCUUUGAUCAAUUCUAACCAUCUUCGUUGCCUCAUGUUCAAUUCUGACUGAGUGAAUAUGUACUUCAGACUCUUGUGAUCUGUGUAAACAUCGCAUUUCUGUCCAUACAAAUAGUGCCUCCAUGUCUUCAGUGCGUGAACCACUGCUGCCAACUCUAGAUCAUGGAUUGGGUAAUUCUUCUCAUGAACCUUCAGCUGUCGGGACGAGUAAGCCACAACUCUUCCCUCUUGCAUCAACACACAUCCCAAACCUGUGUAACAAGCAUCACAAUACACCGAGAAGGGCUUGUGCACAUCAGGCAAGACUAGGACAGGCGCUGUUGUCAACUUCUCUUUCAGCGCUUCAAAGGCCUCUUGGCAUUUCUGGGUCCACUUGAACUCAACCUUGUUGCCUAGCAACGCUGUCAUUGGUUUCGCAAUCUUCGAAAACCCUUCAAUGAAUCGCCGAUAAUAUCCGGCCAUUCCAAUGAAGCUCUUGAUUCCUCUAGCAUCUGUUGGCGCUUUCCAGUUCAGAAUGUCUGCCACUUUCUUCGGAUCCACAGCCAAUCCUUCUUUGUUGAUUAUGUGACCCAAGAACAGGACUUCACUGAUCCAGAACUCACACUUGCUCAACUUUGCAUACAACUGGUGCUCUCGCAAUCUCUGCAACACCAUCCUCAAAUGAUCUGCAUGCUCUUCUUCACUUUGAGAAUAAACCAGAAUGUCAUCAAUGAAUACCACCACGAACUUAUCAAGAUAAUCCAUGAAUACACUGUUCAUCAAGUUCAUAAAGAAUGCUGGCGCAUUGGUCAAACCAAAAGACAUCACUGUGAACUCAUAUAAACCAUACUUGGUAAUGAAUGCCGUCUUCGGAAUGUCCGAAGGUCGGAUCCUGAGCUGAUGAUAACCUGACCUCAGAUCGAUCUUGGAGAACACACUGGCUCCUCUCAACUGGUCGAACAGAUCUUCUAUUCUGGGCAAGGGAUACUUAUUCUUGAUCGUGACCUCAUUCAAAGCUCGAUAAUCGAUACACAUCCUCUUAGUACCAUCUUUCUUCUCCACAAACAAGACAGGGGCGGCCCAAGGCGAGGUGCUUGGCCGGAUGUAACCUUUCUCUGACAGCUCAUCAAUUUGCUUCUUAAGUUCAUCCAACUCUGGUCCAGAUAUUCUGUAAGCUCUCUUAGAGAUGGGGGCGGUUCCAGGAAGAAGCUCUAUAGCAAAUUCAACUUUCCGCUCUGGUGGCAUACCCGGUAAAUCCUUUGGAAACACAUCUGGGAAUUCAGACACAACCUUGAUACUCUCAAUUGGGUCUGCUUCACUGCUAUCAACAGCCAUCUGAUAACAACUUCCUUUCUUUGGCUCAGGCGGGACUAACUCGGUCACCACUUCCUCUCCUAGUGGGGACACUAACUUGAUGGUCCUUUUAUCACAACUGAUAACUGCCUGAUACUUAUCUAGCCAAUUCAUCCCUAGGAUGACAUCUAUUCCCUGAGUACCCAUUACUAUAAGGUUGGCGGGAAACGCUAUCCCCCUUAUUUCCACACUUACAUUUAAACAAAUGCUAUCAGCUCGAAUUCUACCACCGGCUGAGUCAAUUUGAAUGGGGGUUAACAUGGUAGUAGUUGGAAGAUUAUGUGCUUCUACCCAUGAUGCAGUAAUGAAAGAAUGUGUUGCUCCAGUAUCAAAUAACACUUCUGCAAUAUGGGAAUCGACUGGGAACAUACCUACUGUCAUGCCGGGGGUCUCCUGAACUGCUUCAGCUUCCAAGUGAUUCAAUCUUCCAUGAUUAUAGCGCUGCUGAGAGCGAUUGCCUGCUCCAGGCUGAGGCACAUUCUGCUUUGCUGGGGCAUUGGGGCCUGACUGCUGCUGGGCUGCCUUCUUCGGACAUUGCAUCACCCAGUGGCCUUGCUCUCCACAGUGGAAACAUGCCCUGUUUCCAACUUGAGCUGGUGCUGCCUGACUGUUCUGCUGAUUUGCUGGGGCAGGAAGACGAGGUGCUUGCUGAUUCUGCUUCUGAAACUGACCUCCUGACUGAUUGCUCUGACGGUUCUGGUACUGAUUCUGAGGGUACUGCCUUUGAAACUGCUGAUACUGCUGACGCUGCUGAUGCUGCUGAGGUGGACGCUGGUUCUGCCUGAACUGCUGAGGUUGAUUGCCUGAGAAACGGGGACGGCUGCUGCUUCCAGGCUGGGGUCCACUGAUCUUGCGCUUACGAUCUUCCAUCUCCUUGCGCUUCCUUUCUGUCAUGAUUGCUCUGUCAAUCAGGUGCUGGAAUGUCGGGAAGGUGUGAUUCAUCAGCUGAUACUGCAGAGGGUCAACCAAGCCUCUCAGGAAACGGUACUGUCGCUUGGCGUCGGUAUUGACAUCUUCGGGAGCGUAGCGAGACAAUUGCAGAAACCUGUCCCGAUACUCACUGACAGACGAUGACCCUUGCUUAAGGGCCAGGAACUCCUCCUUCUUCACUGUCAUCAGACCUGCAGGAACAUGGUACUGACGAAAGCUACCCCUGAAUUCUUCCCAGGUGAUGGUGUCGGGGUUGGCAUGGGUGGCGAGGUAAGACUCCCACCAUGACUGGGCUGCUCCUCUCAACAGACGGGGACCAUACAGAACUUUCUCCCUGUCAUCGCACUGAGCGGUAUGCAACUCCCGCUCCACAGUGCGCAGCCAAUCUUCAGCAUCCAUGGGGUCAGAAGAGUGAGCGAACGUUGGUGGAUGACCUCUCAUGAAUUCAGCACGCUUAUCUCUAGGCAUCUGAGGCAUCUGAGGCUGGGGUGGUGCUUGCUGCUGCUGCUGCUGCUGCUGCUGAAUGGCGGCCAAAGUCUGACCGAUAGCUUGAACUGCCUGAGUCUGCAUCAGAAACAUCUGCUCAAUCGACAUCGGGGGCGGGGGCGGCAGGUGCUGCUGCUGGGGCACCUCAUCCUGCGGAGCGGCUCGCUCCUGCUGAGCACGCCUUCCUCCUCUACGCCUGUUCUCUGACAUCUGCAGAACGCAACCACACAUCAGAACUGAUCUGGCAAAGCUUGCAGCAUAAGAAAAGAGUAUAGAAUUCUCCAACAGCACUGAACAGAUGAGCAUCUUCACUGAUUCUCCAACACAGACCACACAGCUUCUCAGAUAAAGAGGAAAGGAGAAUUAUGGGUUUCCCAACUAUAUAACUAACUUUAUUGACAUAGUAUGUAAACCAAAAUGCAGGGGAUACCCACACUCUGGUGACAAUCAUUACAAAGAUCCAAACCAAACAUAGUUCAUCAUGACAAACAUAGAUGCACAGGAUAUAGCAAACUACCCUGUCUAACUAAAACUAACUAAGAUCGAGGCUAACGCUAAGACUGAAGCUUCCAUGUAUAUAUUUCGUAUUAAUUACAAGAUCCAACUCUAACGAUCUAUGGUUCUAGGUUGAUCUUGGUCUUGCAGGCGGGAUUGCCAUAAGACUGGUGUCCACGCUGAGGUGAGCGGUACGGGUGCUGAGUCCCAACGGGAGCGGGGGAUCCACCGUCCAGAAAACGACGUUCCGCGCGCUCAGCCCGCAGCAGGGCGAUCUCAGCACGAGCCCUACUCAGCUCGUCUAAUGCAUGGUCCAGCUCCGUGUUUAGCACGGCGGCUAGGUUGACUGUGCUGCUCAACCUAGGAUUGCCCUCACCGACGGGUGAGACAAUCACGCCUCCUGUGCUGCCAGAUGAACGGCGGGGGUAAUACUUCAGGUCAAGACCGUCAGCUGCCCCACCGAAAACCGAGCAGUAGUGCGAAAGCGCACGCCGUGCAGCAUCUUGCAUGGCUGCCUCAGCUGAGUCCCGCUCAGAGAUAGAAUAGUGCUCUGAACAGGCCUCUGCACCCUGGAGACUGUCCUCCGGGCAGCGCACCAAGCAAGUCGCCUCCCAGCGGUCCGGGUAGACCCCGCGACUAUGCUGGUAGACCACACAGCGAUACUCGACGGACCAAGUAUGCCGGUCAAAUGCCCGACGUAGCAGGGUGUCGAGCGCAUCGUGGAAGUGACACCCGCGAGCAGCGUCGCGAGUGAUGGGUCGAGCAACCCAUCCUUCCGGCUCAGGAUUAGCAGAGAAGUCGGUGUCGUGGCUCGAGCUGUCGUCGCCUCCUCCGUCGUCUGGGUCUCCUCCAGCAGCUACUCCAGAAGCUGGGGCGCCCAGUGGUGGUGCAGGGGGCGGCUCCAGAGAAAGCACAGGGGAGCAGCUCCUCACAGACUCUAUCUCCUGGUGGAGCGAGAGGGAAGAGCUCCGCUGCUCCUGUCGUCGACGUUCCUGCUCCUCACGCAGGCGGUGGUGCAGUCUCUCCAAGUGGCUGGACUGUCCGGCCACGGGACGGCGAAGCGGACGCUCAGCAAGACGGGAGGGUAAGAAGGGGAUGACUGACUUUCGUGCAGUGUGUCUAAGUCGAGCCAUCUACAAAAGACAUCGCAAGCAAAAGGGUGAGAACAGAGUUAAUAUGACCAGCAAGUAAUGAAUCAUAAGUAAAUGAAGGAUUGGAAUAAAACAUGAUUUUUAGCAAGGUAUAGUAUAUAGUAGAACAUAGGUUUGGUCAGUAGGACCAACUUUUGAAGGGAUAUCAAAGUCAAGGAAGAGACAGAGGUCUAUAAUCCUUAGAACGACCAUUCUACUCUAGGUUAGCGGUCCUACAGUCAGCACGGCUUUGAUACCACUUAUGUCACACCCGGUUUUUAGAAGGCAAACCGAAUGCGAACCAUGUACGUGCCAGGAUCAGUUAUUCACGUACACAGCAGUUACAUAAUAUGGACAUCAUCACACAGUGCUCAAAAUAGUAUUAAAAGGGGAAACAAUAGUCGAUUACAUCAUACGUCUGAGACGUCCAUAUAGUUCUUACAAUAAAUCAAAGUGCGGAAAAGAAACGUAGAUAACGCGGCCUUCACAGGCAGCCGACUGGGGGUUGCCGCUAACCCACACCUAGAACUCGUCGUAAUCUUGGAACUCCUGGAAGUCUCCUUCCACAGCUUCAUCUUCGCCUGAGCAGUGGUUGCAAUGCUGACAACCUGGGGGGGGGUUUGGUGUGUAGAGCAAGGGUGAGUACACAUCAACAUACUCAGCAAGUAUCCUGUUUGGCUGUAGUGGACUAGCUUUAUGUGGGGAUAAGUCAAGCAGUUGCUUUUAGUUGGUCAGGUUAUUACUUACUAGUAGAAAGCCAGGUUUUAACAUUAACCCAAGUUAUUAGCCCAAUGUAUCCUUUCCAAACGGAAAGAAUACCACUUACCAGCACCAUAAUCAUAACCAGAUUCAACAGUCUCAUAACCACCUGUACCACAAUAUCUCUGAUCAAGUACCACUAAUCAUUGGAGCUCCCUUGGCCGCUCAUAACCGCGAGCACGGCUGAUAUAUCAGUUUCAUAACACUCUGCAGAGGUUGUGCACUUUACCCACAAGCCGUGAUUCCCAUUCUGCCCGGAGAUCAUGACUCUCCAUUGAUCACUACCAAGGUGAUCCAGCAGGGCAUCACUACGAAGCCUUUACAAAGAUUCCCCGGGGCUGUAGCCACCCGUUAGGUUUCCUAAAUGCACCGCACUCCUCCCCAAGGGGCGAACCCAAACUUGGCAGAGCGAGCCGCAUACACCGAGCCCCAUUGACGGCACGACGGCUAAGUGAACUACACCCCGGAUCCUCUAAUUAUUCAGCUAAGGGCACCCCAUUCCACCCUCAUGGUUGCACUGUUUUCCCGGGCGGUCAUCCAUAGAACAGGUCCUUACGGAGAGGCACUCGAGAAACCGCUCGAGUCCCCUUGAAAACCACAAGUAUAAUCAUAAAGAAGAGCGGGAAAACAGCGUAUCAUAGAUAAUCACAUCAUGUUCAUUGAUUAGAGUUGAGCAAUAGCAUCAGACUAAGUAGUAAUAAUCCGACCCAAAUAGGUAAACAAGGACAUGGAUAACAAAAGCUAGUCAAUCCUUAGGUAUAAAUGUGUAAAGCGGGAGGUGAAUUAAAGAAUGAAUAGGACAUAGAUAGGUCAAAGGACACUUGCCUCCACCAAACGACUGCUGCUCAGGGGCUUCUCCUGCGAAUUCCUCGGGCUCUUCGACCGGAUCGUUCUCUAUGCGAGCGCAAACAUACAUACAUACAUCCACAUAUUUAAUACAAAAGAACAGUACACCAUACAAGAUAACAAAUAAAGCGAAUAUGCAUCAAGUAUGACAUUCGAUAACGCAUUUGUUAUGGUUAGAAAGAAACGGGAAAGGUCUCGCAGGGGGGGUUAAAUCUUAUGCACUAAUGACACAAUUGGUUUUUAACAAAAGAAUUCUGUUACAUAUACACUAAUGGAAACCUAAUCACUUUUAGUUGAUCAACAUUGCACAGGGUAAACAAUUAACUACGUGCAUCAAUAGCAUAACGGAAUUUUAAAUUAAACUUCCUAUUUUCCCAUAGCAUGAACAGUGAUUAGCCUACUUAAAAUACAGUAAUUAUGAUUACAGAAAGUAAAUAAAAUAAAAUAAAAAAAAUAAAAAAAAAACAGAAGGGGGGGGCGGUUGAACCGGCCCUAGGGCGGUUGAACCGGCCCUAGGCGGGGCGCGGGAGCGGGCGGCUGAACCGGCGGGGCAGGGGGCGGCGCAGGGGGCGGCCGAGCCGGGGGGCGGGGCGGCCGAACCGGCGGGCAGGGAGGCGGCGCAGGGGCGGCCGAGCCGGGGGGCGGGGCGGCCGAACCGGCGGGCAGGGAGGCGGCGCAGGGGGCGGCCGAGCCGGGGGGCGGGGCGGCCGAACCGGCGGGCAGGGAGGCGGCCGAACCGGCCAUGGGGAAAGGGGAGAGGGGAUGGGGGAGGGAGGAGAGGGGGAGGGGGAGCUCACCGGGGAGGGGCGCGACGGCGAGGGGCGGCCGGCGGCAGGGGCGGCCGAGGGCGGCGGCUGGGCAGGGGGCGGCGGCGGCUUAGGGCAGGGGUAGGGGCGGCGGCUUAGGGAGAGGGAGAGAAAAUGAGAGAAAAUGAGAGGGAGAGGGAGAGGGUUUGGGGAAAAAGGGGAGGUGGGGGGGGGGCGGUUGGGCCUAUUGGGCCCAGGGGGGGGGGCGCGCAGGGGCGGCUGGGCCGGCCGGGGUCGGCCCACGGCGCGGGAGAGAGAGAAAAAAAAAGGAAGAGAGAGAGAAAAGAGAAAGAAAAGAGAAAGAAAACAUUUUCGAAAUCCGAUUCUUCUACAUGAAUGCAUUUGCACUUUCAAAGCAAUCAAAGGAAAUGCAAGGUUCGGCAUGGUGCAUCGAGCAACAUAAAGCAUUUAGGGUUUUUCUUACACGGGAAAUCCAAACCGAAUCCCGCUAGAACUUUGGAAAAGGUCAAGGUUUAGCGAGGGAAAAAGAAAAGGAAAGGUAACGCCCGAAUUUUGGCGAGUAAAGAAAAGAAAAAAAUUCAACUGCAAAAUUCGGGGCGUUACACUUUAAAAUGCAGGUAUAGGAUAAGCAUCAAGGUAAAGAUCGAGGGAUGACAAAGGUUAAGGUGAUAACGAACAAACACACAAUAAAGGAUGUAUUUUAAACAGGACUUGCAAAGUGUCAAAGAAGGGGAGCAGUCAACGAUGAAAUAGGUGAGGCAUUAUCCCUGAACAGGGAUGGAAAAGAGGAGGCUUCAAAGGGUAGGUUCAAUGUAAGCAGAAGGCAAGGGAAUAGAUAUCACGAGGGUCUAAAGGUGAUAACAGACAAGGAUGUAGGAGAGGGGUAAAUGGGUAUAAGAACGAAGGAUAUAAAUACCACAAAGGGUGGAGAUAAGAUAGAACGUGCAAGUGAAAAAAGAGGGCACGUCCAAGGGCUAGAUAGGUAAACUGCCACUCUCAAUUUGAGGUGGAAGAGGGGAUAUUUUUUUUAGUAUAUGAAUAAAGCUAAGUAUCAAGGCAAGAUCGAUGGAUGACAAGGUGAUGGUGAUAGCAAAUAAAAACACAGCAAAUGAUGGAAUUAAGACAACACUUGUAAGGUGUUAAGGAGCAAAAAGAAAUCAAGGGAGAGAUAGGUAACUCACAGCUCUCAAACUUGGUCGAAAGAAAGGGGAGGCUUUUAAAGGAUAAGUUCAAGGUAAGCGUUUAAGUAGAAGACAUAAAUAUCGCAAGGGUCAAAGGCGAUAACAGACAAGGGUAUGAGAGAAAAGAUGAAGGCAUUAGAGAGCCAGUGGUAUGAGUACAACAAACAAAGGAGGUCACAUCCAGGCUUUCACGCGAUAAGAAGAGGAUAUUGCCAAGGGUAGGAUAAGUAAAACACCGCUCUCAAAUUGGGAUAGGAGAUUGGAGAUUUUAGAGAAUGAACAGAGUGUAAUCACCAAGGUAAGAUCUAGAGAUGAGAAAGGUAAAGAUAAUACCCAACCGAAGCACAACAAAGGAUGGAGUUAAAAACUCGCAAGCGACAAGGAAGAGGAUACAACCAAUGGAAAAUGGGUAAAAUACAACUAUAAAAUUGAGAUGGAAGAGAGAACAUUUUAAAGGACAGGUAUAACAUAAGCAUCAAGUAAGAUAUAGAGGUGACAAGGGUAAAGGUGGUAAUGAUGAAAAGCAUAAUCCAUGGACAGAGUUAAGGCAAGAUUCACAAAGUGACUAAGUGGAGAAAACAAUCAAGGAUAAGAUAAGUGAGGUUCCAACAGAAGAGUUGAAGUAAAAAUUCAUUACCGAAGGAAGUUACAAGGAAACAACGAGAUUAUCACGGUUGUGCAAAAUAAAAUGAUCGCUCAUGGAUCAUUAAGAAAUAGGGGUGGUCAAGGACAUGUUAACUGAAAUGUCUAAGUAGGCAAUAGAAAUUUAGAGGCAAGUAUUUGAAACAAGAGUAUUAAAGGGAUACAAGCAUGUCAAUACCAAAGAACUAGAGUUCGCCAGAUGGUAACAACUUAAUGACGAAAGAGGAAAGAAUCCCAAAAAGACAAGAAGGUUAUGGUCAGGGGGCAUCUACAAAGAUGUCGCAAGCACAAGAGUGAGAUCAGAUCUAAUAGAAUGAAUAGGUGAAGCAUAGACAAUAUUAGAACAAAAUACAUUUGGCAAGGUGAUAUAUAGAAGCAUAACAUAGAAUUAGUCGAGGUGACUAAUAUUUUGAAGCAGCAUCAAGGAUGGGGUGAAGUAAAAGUCAAUAAGUCCUUAAAACGGUCAAUGCUACUCUAGGUCAGCGGUCCUACAGUCAGCACGGCUUUGAUACCACUUAUGUCACACCCGGUUUUGGAAGGCAAACCGAAUGCGAACUAUGUACGUGCCAGGAUCAGAAUUCACGUACACAACGAUUACAUAAAUGAACAUCAUCGCACAGUGCUCGAAUAAAAACAUGAAAGGGUAUUAACUUAUUACAUCACAGAGUCAUAGACAUCCACAUAGUCAUCAACUUAACAGUUAAAUCAAAGUGCUAGCGAAACGCAGUAAAGAUAAGGCCUUCACAGGCAGCUAACUGGGGUUGCCGCCAACCCACACCUAGAAUUCGUCGUAGUCUUGAAACUCCUGGAAGUCUCCUUCCACGACUUCGCCUUCUCCUGAGCAGUGGUUGCAAUGUGGACAACCUGGUGUUUGGUGGUAAAGCAAGGAUGAGUACACAUCAACGUACUCAGCAAAUGUCCCGUUUGGCUGAAGUGGACUAGCUUUAUGUGGGGCUAGGCUCAAGCAGUUGCUUUUAGUUGGUCAGGUAUUUAUUAUUAGUAGGAGCCAGGUUUUAUCAUAAAACCCAAGUUAUAAUCCCAAAAAGUACUUCCUCAGAGAAGAAAUACUAGAAAACAUAAUUAAAGUCACCAUCUGAAGUGUAUCCGGAGUAUCUCUAAUCAAAGAGGAUCCCAAGGCUGCUCUUAACCGUGAGCACGGCUGAUAUACCAGUUUCACUACCCUCUGCAGAGGUCGCACACUUUACCCAUGAGCCGUGAUUCCCUCUCUAGCCCGGGCUUGCAAGACCCUUAUUCACUCCCAAGGUGAAUGGCCAGGGAUUCACUAUGAAGCCUUUACAAAGAUUCCCUAGAGGUCAUAGCUGCCCGUUAGGUUUCUCCAGUUUGAUAAACACAGUACCUCUCCCCGCAGGAAGGUGACUAAAAAGCAAAACGAAAGAACCUCGGCACUCAGCCUCGGCAGAGCAAGCACUGUGCCUGGACCCCAUUGACGGCACGACGGCGAAGCAACUAAACUUCUAGUUCCUCUAAUUAAUUAGCUAAGGGCACCCCAUUCCACCCUCAUGGUUGCAUUGUUAUCCCGGGUGGUCUCUCAACGAACAGGUCCUUAUGGAGAGGUACUCGAGAAAACUGCUCGAGUCCCCUAGAUGCCACAAGUACAUCAUCAUAUCCAGAAUAAAAUCAUAGUAUCAUCAUUGUAUCUCAUCAUGUUCAUUGAUUAAAGUAAAGCGCUAGCAUGUAGCUAACCAUAGUAACCCAAAAGGUAAAUCAAGGACAAGGUGAAUAGAAAGCUAGUAAAUCCUUAGGUUUCAAUUAAGUAAUGCAGGAUAGUGAAUUAUAAGUGAAUAGGACAUAAUGGGUCAGAGGACACUUGCCUUCACCAAAUAGAUGCUCAGGGUCUUCAACCUUGCAGAACUCGAAGAACCAGGUCACUUGGUCACCGAAGCUUGACCGUCGAUUCCUCGAAGCUCGAAAACGGA
Molecule: long non-coding RNA, 42344 nt
Filed under: Zea mays
Lineage: Eukaryota; Viridiplantae; Streptophyta; Magnoliopsida; Poales; Poaceae
Description: long non-coding RNA (ZMAY_LNC003844)
Source: RNAcentral